Molecule: long non-coding RNA, 747 nt
Organism: Triticum dicoccoides
Lineage: Eukaryota; Viridiplantae; Streptophyta; Magnoliopsida; Poales; Poaceae
Exons: 3
Source: RefSeq, a predicted model, not a curated record
GUCCGUUCUCUAAUUCAUCUUAUCCAAACUCCUCCUUUUCCAGCGACGGCGGAGCAUGGGCAGGUGACGGGCAGCGCCCUUGUCGUCGGACGGCUACAACCGCGGUGGAGGAGAAGGCGGAUGCCGUGGGUGCGUGCUUGGGUAAGGGAGUCCACCCUUGCGUGCUUGUGGGCGUUCAUGGAGGAUGGAAGGGGGGUCAACUUCCUGUGGGUGCGCCAGCUGUGCUCGUGGGCGUUCAUGGAGGAUGGAAGGUGGGACAGCAUCCUGUGGGAAAUUGGAAACCGGCCCUGUCCUUCUCCAACACAAAUUGAUGGAGCGCCCGACCCGGAUUUGAUUGGCUGCUAUUAGUAAGGGUCCUCGGCCGGAAUCUCCAUUAGGUCGUGCCUCGGGACCAUAAUCUCCAUCAUCCCGUCGAAAUUACAAUUUUUGACCAAACGUCCAAUGUCACCGCCGAGUUCGCCGGAGGAAAAAGUGCCGAGUUCGCCGGAGGAACAAGAACAUCCGUCGAGCCGUGCAAUGUCUCCUGUGGCGGCUACACGAGAGUUAACAAGUAGCUCUUCAGAAUAGAUAUGCUAGCUGCACCUAGCAAACCAGGAUUAGGAGGUGUAUUCAAGUGCAACAUAUGCAUUGAUCAACAAAGAAACAUGUGUGUUUCUUAGCGUGUACUAAAUAACUUUUCUCUCUGUAGUUUCUGGGGUUGUCCAACAUGUGUUUCUCAGAUUAAUGCCUUCAACACCCCUCUUUCCA